CAGUCGCCGCGGUAAUACGAGGGGGGCAAGCGUUGUUCGGAAUUAUUGGGCGUAAAGGGUGCGUAGGCGGUACAGCAAGUCUCGUGUGAAAUCUUCGGGCUCAACCCGAAGUCUGCACGGGAAACUACUGGGCUUGAGUAAUGGAGAGGUGAGUGGAAUUUCCGGUGUAGCGGUGAAGUGCGUAGAUAUCGGAAGGAACACCUGUGGCGAAAGCGGCUCACUGAACAUUUACUGACGCUGAUGCACGAAAGCUAGGGGAGCAAACAGGAUUAGAUACCCCGGUAGUCCCUGUCUCUUAUAC
Molecule: ribosomal RNA, 301 nt
Filed under: uncultured bacterium
Lineage: Bacteria
Description: partial 16S ribosomal RNA
Rfam family: Bacterial small subunit ribosomal RNA
Source: RNAcentral